RNAcentral lists this ribosomal RNA (418 nucleotides) under uncultured bacterium. RNAcentral's name for it is "bacterial SSU rRNA". It matches the Rfam family "Bacterial small subunit ribosomal RNA", at positions 355 to 770 of the family's 1533-position model. The record is from RNAcentral.
UGAGGAAUAUUGGUCAAUGGGGGCAACCCUGAACCAGCCAAGUCGCGUGAAGGAUGAAGGUCUUAUGGAUUGUAAACUUCUUUUACACGGGAAUAAAGCGGGGGACGUGUCCCUCUUUGCAUGUACCGUGUGAAUAAGGAUCGGCUAACUCCGUGCCAGCAGCCGCGGUAAUACGGAGGAUCCGAGCGUUAUCCGGAUUUAUUGGGUUUAAAGGGUGCGCAGGCGGGAUGUUAAGUCGGCGGUGAAAUUUUCAGGCUCAACCUGAACACUGCCGUUGAAACUGGGAUUCUUGAGUAUGGAUGAAGUGGGCGGAAUUCGAUGUGUAGCGGUGACAUGCUUAGAUAUAACGAGGAACUCCGAUUGCGUAGGCAGCUUACUAAGCCAUAACUGACGCUCAAACACAAAAGCGUGGGGAUCA